Molecule: ribosomal RNA, 115 nt
Filed under: Candidatus Peregrinibacteria bacterium
Lineage: Bacteria; Candidatus Peregrinibacteriota
Source: RNAcentral
CCUGGUGCUUCUAGCGAAGGGGGUACACCCGUACCCAUCUCGAACACGGUAGUUAAGCCCUUUAGCGCCGAUGGUAGUGCCUCUUAUGGGGUGUUAGAGUAGGCCAGUGCCAGGA